This 334-nucleotide unclassified non-coding RNA is filed under the name soil metagenome. RNAcentral's name for it is "partial contains 5.8S ribosomal RNA, internal transcribed spacer 2, and large subunit ribosomal RNA". The stretch from base 1 to 120 matches the Rfam family "5.8S ribosomal RNA", at positions 35 to 154 of the family's 154-position model. The record is from RNAcentral.
GAUGAAGAACGCAGCGAAAUGCGAUAAGUAAUGUGAAUUGCAGAAUUCAGUGAAUCAUCGAAUCUUUGAACGCACAUUGCGCCCCCCAGUAUUCUGGCGGGCAUGCCUGUUCGAGCGUCAUUUCAACCAUCAAGCCCUGCUUGUGUUGGGGUCCUGCGGCUGCCCGCAGGCCCUGAAAACCAGUGGCGGGCUCGCUAGUCACACCGAGCGCAGUAGCACAUCUCGCUCAGGGCGUGCGGCGGGCUCCAGCCGUUUAAGCACCCACCUUUCGCAAGGUUGACCUCGGAUCAGGUAGGAAUACCCGCUGAACUUAAGCAUAUCAAUAAGCGGAGGA